GGGGUGCACCAGGCGCGAAAACUCUACAAUGCAGGCAACUGCGAUAGGGGGACAUCGAGUGGCAUCCACCUUGGGUGCCUGUCCAACCGUCUAAAAAACGGUUGUUAGCAAGGGCCGGGUAAGACCGGUGCCAGCCGCCGCGGUAAUACCGGCGGCUCGAGUGGUGGCCGAUAUUAUUGAGUCUAAAGGGUCCGUAGCCGGCUUUGCAAGUCCCCUGGGAAAUCCAGCGGCUUAACCGUUGGGCCUUCAUGGGAUACUACAUUGCUUGGGACUGGGAGAGGUAGGAGGUACUCGGGGGGUAGGGGUGAAAUCCUGUAAUCCUCCGGGGACCACCGGUGGCGAAGGCGUCCUACCAGAACAGGUCCGACGGUGAGGGACGAAAGCUAGGGGCACGAACCGGAUUAGAUACCCGGGUAGUCCUAGCCGUAAACGAUGCCCGCUGGGUGUCACGACGGUCGUGAAUCGUCGUGGUGCCGUAGGGAAGCCGCGAAGCGGGCCACUUGGGAAGUACGGCCGCAAGGCUGAAACUUAAAGGAAUUGG
This 541-nucleotide ribosomal RNA is filed under the name uncultured archaeon. RNAcentral describes it as "bacterial SSU rRNA". It matches the Rfam family "Archaeal small subunit ribosomal RNA", at positions 327 to 868 of the family's 1478-position model. The record is from RNAcentral.